RNAcentral lists this ribosomal RNA (460 nucleotides) under uncultured bacterium. RNAcentral's name for it is "partial 16S ribosomal RNA". It matches the Rfam family "Bacterial small subunit ribosomal RNA", at positions 338 to 795 of the family's 1533-position model. The record is from RNAcentral.
CCUACGGGGGGCAGCAGUGAGGAAUAUUGGUCAAUGGACGAGAGUCUGAACCAGCCAAGUAGCGUGAAGGAUGACUGUCCUAUGGGUUGUAAACUUCUUUUAUAUGGGAAUAAAAUGUUCCACGUGUGGGAUUUUGUAUGUACCAUAUGAAUAAGGAUCGGCUAACUCCGUGCCAGCAGCCGCGGUAAUACGGAGGAUCCGAGCGUUAUCCGGAUUUAUUGGGUGUAAAGGGAGCGUAGGUGGAUUGUUAAGUCAGUUGUGAAAGUUUGCGGCUCAACCGUAAAAUUGCAGUUGAAACUGGCAGUCUGGAGUACAGUAGAGGUGGGCGGAAUUCGUGGUGUAGCGGUGAAAUGCUUAGAUAUCACGAAGAACUCCGAUUGCGAAGGCAGCUCACUGGACUGCAACUGACACUGAGGCUCGAAAGUGUGGGUAUCAAACAGGAUUAGAUACCCCGGUAGUC